This 469-nucleotide ribosomal RNA is filed under the name uncultured bacterium. Its description in RNAcentral is "partial 16S ribosomal RNA". It matches the Rfam family "Bacterial small subunit ribosomal RNA", at positions 28 to 507 of the family's 1533-position model. The record is from RNAcentral.
GACGAACGCUGGCGGCGUGCUUAACACAUGCAAGUCGAACGGAAAGGCCCUGCUUGCAGGGUGCUCGAGUGGCGAACGGGUGAGUAACACGUGUGUGAUCUGCCCCUUACUUUGGGAUAAGCCUGGGAAACUGGGUCUAAUACUGGAUAGGACCAUGCUGUAUGUGGUGUGGUGGAAAGAUUAGUUUCGGUAAGGGAUGAGCUCGCGGCCUAUCAGCUUGUUGGUGGGGUAAUGGCCUACCAAGGCGUCGACGGGUAGCCGGCCUGAGAGGGUGGACGGCCACAUUGGGACUGAGAUAAGGCGCAGACGACUACGGGAGGCAGCAGUGGGGAAUAGUGCACAAUGGGCGCAAGCCGGAUGCAGCGACGCCGCGUGGGGGAUGACGGCCGUCGGGUUGUAAACUCCUUUCAGCCAUGACGAAGAACUUGUGGUGACGGUAGUGGUAGAAGAAGCACCGGCUAACUACGUG